GAUGAAGAACGUAGUGAAAUGCGAUAAGUAAUGUGAAUUGCAGAAUUCAGUGAAUCAUCGAAUCUUUGAACGCACAUUGCGCCCCUUGGUAUUCCGAGGGGCAUGCCUGUUCGAGCGUCAUUAUAACCCUCAAGCUCAGCUUGGUGUUGGGGCCUGCUGCACUGGCAGCCCUUAAAAUCAGUGGCGGCGCCAUCUGGCUCUAAGCGUAGUAAUUCUUCUCGCUAUGGAGUCCUGGUGGAUGCUUGCCAUCAACCCCCAAUUUUUCUAUGGUUGACCUCGGAUCAGGUAGGGAUACCCGCUGAACUUAAGCAUAUCAAUAAGCGGAGA
RNAcentral lists this unclassified non-coding RNA (327 nucleotides) under soil metagenome. Its description in RNAcentral is "partial contains 5.8S ribosomal RNA, internal transcribed spacer 2, and large subunit ribosomal RNA". The stretch from base 1 to 120 matches the Rfam family "5.8S ribosomal RNA", at positions 35 to 154 of the family's 154-position model. The record is from RNAcentral.